This 27-nucleotide non-coding RNA is filed under the name Cricetulus griseus (Chinese hamster). The record is from RNAcentral. Lineage: Eukaryota; Metazoa; Chordata; Mammalia; Rodentia; Cricetidae.
GACUAACGGGAAGGAGCCUGAGCUGCU